AUUGAACGCUGGCGGCAUGCUUUACACAUGCAAGUCGAACGGCAGCGGGGAGGAGCUUGCUUCUCUGCCGGCGAGUGGCGAACGGGUGAGUGAUACAUCGGAACGUGUCGAGAAGAGGGGGAUAACCACCCGAAAGGGUGACUAAUACCGCAUAAAUUCUGAGGAAGAAAGCUGGGGACCUGGGAAUAGGCCUAGCGCUUUUUGAGCGGCCGAUGUCGGAUUAGCUAGUUGGUGAGGUAAAGGCUCACCAAGGCGAAGAUCUGUAGCGGGUCUGAGAGGAUGAUCCGCCACACUGGGACUGAGACACGGCCCAGACUCCUACGGGAGGCAGCAGUGGGGAAUUUUGGACAAUGGGGGCAACCCUGAUCCAGCCAUGCCGCGUGUAUGAAGAAGGCCUUAGGGUUGUAAAGUACUUUUGUUAGGGAAGAAAAGUAAGAUGUGAAUAAUGGCUGAUACUGACGGUACCUAAAGAAUAAGCACCGGCUAACUACGUG
RNAcentral lists this ribosomal RNA (494 nucleotides) under uncultured bacterium. RNAcentral describes it as "partial 16S ribosomal RNA". It matches the Rfam family "Bacterial small subunit ribosomal RNA", at positions 30 to 507 of the family's 1533-position model. The record is from RNAcentral.